CCCAGGUGCCCCUAAAGUCCCUUUUAUGGUGAAUAAUGAACACAUGGGAGUUUGAACACCCAAGUGUGUGGUUAUUCCAAACAGGAAGUCUCAAGGAAGCACAGUAACCUUGUCAGAGGAACAAAAGAUGGAACUGAAAAGGCGAUUGGAUGAUUCCAGGCUUAAAACAUCUGCCAGGAAACAUCUGACAGUUUCUAAGAUACACAACUGCACCCUCCAAAUGGAUGGUUUAUUUGGAACUUGUUCCAUUUGUUUUAAAUGCUUGGAGUAUUAAGCCCUACUCUAGAAAUGGAGGUGAAAAAAGAAGUAACAUGGCGUUGCAUUAAAGACAGGAAGUGGCUCUGCCUGUGGGGAUGACCGAGGGUCCUUGAGAAGAAGGCGCAACAACUCAUCUUUACCGGAAGGAGCAAUGGGCCUGCACCCAGAAACGGUAGAUGGGACCUACGGGGGCUGCCAGAGCUAAUGGGGUUGGGUUAAAAAAAAUGAUUUUGUGCCAAGCCUUUGAUUACUGAGCACAGGAGGAGCAGGUAGAUAAAGAAGAAUGUGGGUUCUGCAUGAAGAGCGUGUAUUCUAGUGGAGAGCAAGAAUGUGUAUAUCAACAAUACACUCUGAGAAAAAAAAAAAGUGCAAUACAAGAAAAGGAAAAAAAAAAAAAAAAAGAAAUCCCGUGGGACUGCAAACGGGAUCUGAUUAUAGCUGAUCAGGAGAGAGACAGAGCAUGAACGGGGGAGGGGCAGAGAGAGA
Long non-coding RNA from Lynx canadensis (Canada lynx), 744 nucleotides. RefSeq lists it as uncharacterized. The transcript is spliced from 4 exons. The record is from RefSeq and is a predicted model, not a curated record. NCBI's taxonomy places the organism in Eukaryota, Metazoa, Chordata, Mammalia, Carnivora, Felidae.